Molecule: ribosomal RNA, 376 nt
Filed under: uncultured bacterium
Lineage: Bacteria
Description: bacterial SSU rRNA
Rfam family: Bacterial small subunit ribosomal RNA
Source: RNAcentral
AACGAACGCUGGCGGCAGGCCUAACACAUGCAAGUCGAACGCCGUAGCAAUACGGAGUGGCAGACGGGUGCGUAACACGUGGGAACAUACCCUUUGGUUCGGAAUAACUCAGGGAAACUUGAGCUAAUACCGGAUAAGUCCGCGAGGAGAAAGAUUCAUCGCCGAAGGAUUGGCCCGCGUCUGAUUAGCUAGUUGGUGAGGUAACGGCUCACCAAGGCGACGAUCAGUAGCUGGCUGAGAGGAUGAUCAGCCACACUGGGACUGAGACACGGCCCAGACUCCUACGGGAGGCAGCAGUGGGGAAUAUUGGACAAUGGGCGCAAGCCUGAUCCAGCCAUGCCGCGUGAGUGAUGAAGGCCUUAGGGUUGUAAAGCUC